UGCUAAACUGCGAAAAGCGUCGGUAAGGUGAUAUGAACCGUUAUAACCGGCGAUGUCCGAAUGGGGAAAUCCAGGGUUAUUCUUGACACUAUCGUUAACUGAAUACAUAGGUUAACGAGGCGAACCGGGGGAACUGAAACAUCUAAGUACCCCGAGGAAAAGAAAUCAACCGAGAUUCCCCCAGUAGCGGCGAGCGAACGGGGAGCAGCCCAGAGUCUGAAUCAGCUUGUGUGUUAGUGGAACGGUCUGGAAAGUCCGACGGUACAGGGUGAUAGUCCCGUACACCAAAAUGCACAGGUUGUGAACUCGAAGAGUAGGGCGGGACACGUGGUAUCCUGUCUGAAUAUGGGGGGACCAUCCUCCAAGGCUAAAUACUCCUGACUGACCGAUAGUGAACCAGUACCGUGAGGGAAAGGCGAAAAGAACCCCGGCGAGGGGAGUGAAAAAGAACCUGAAACCGUGUACGUACAAGCAGUGGGAGCACCUUCGGGUGUGACUGCGUACCUUUUGUAUAAUGGGUCAGCGACUUAUAUUCUGUAGCAAGGUUAACCGUAUAGGGGAGCCGCAGGGAAACCGAGUCUUAACUGGGCGUUAAGUUGCAGGGUAUAGACCCGAAACCCGGUGAUCUAGCCAUGGGCAGGUUGAAGGUUGGGUAACACUAACUGGAGGACCGAACCGACUAAUGUUGAAAAAUUAGCGGAUGACUUGUGGCUGGGGGUGAAAGGCCAAUCAAACCGGGAGAUAGCUGGUUCUCCCCGAAAGCUAUUUAGGUAGCGCCUCGUGAACUCAUCUUCGGGGGUAGAGCACUGUUUCGGCUAGGGGGUCAUCCCGACUUACCAACCCGAUGCAAACUACGAAUACCGAAGAAUGUUAUCACGGGAGACACACGGCGGGUGCUAACGUCCGUCGUGAAGAGGGAAACAACCCAGACCGCCAGCUAAGGUCCCAAAGUCAUGGUUAAGUGGGAAACGAUGUGGGAAGGCACAGACAGCCAGGAUGUUGGCUUAGAAGCAGCCAUCAUUUAAAGAAAGCGUAAUAGCUCACUGGUCGAGUCGGCCUGCGCGGAAGAUGUAACGGGGCUAAACCAUGCACCGAAGCUGCGGCAGCGACACUAUGUGUUGUUGGGUAGGGGAGCGUUCUGUAAGCCUGCGAAGGUGUGCUGUGAGGCAUGCUGGAGGUAUCAGAAGUGCGAAUGCUGACAUAAGUAACGAUAAAGCGGGUGAAAAGCCCGCUCGCCGGAAGACCAAGGGUUCCUGUCCAACGUUAAUCGGGGCAGGGUGAGUCGACCCCUAAGGCGAGGCCGAAAGGCGUAGUCGAUGGGAAACAGGUUAAUAUUCCUGUACUUGGUGUUACUGCGAAGGGGGGACGGAGAAGGCUAUGUUAGCCGGGCGACGGUUGUCCCGGUUUAAGCAUGUAGGCUGGUUGUCCAGGCAAAUCCGGAUAAUCAAGGCUGAGGUGUGAUGACGAGGCACUACGGUGCUGAAGUAACAAAUGCCCUGCUUCCAGGAAAAGCCUCUAAGCAUCAGGUAACAUCAAAUCGUACCCCAAACCGACACAGGUGGUCAGGUAGAGAAUACCAAGGCGCUUGAGAGAACUCGGGUGAAGGAACUAGGCAAAAUGGUGCCGUAACUUCGGGAGAAGGCACGCUGGUGUGUAGGUGAAGUCCCUGCGGAUGGAGCUGAGACCAGUCGAAGAUACCAGCUGGCUGCAACUGUUUAUUAAAAACACAGCACUGUGCAAACACGAAAGUGGACGUAUACGGUGUGACGCCUGCCCGGUGCCGGAAGGUUAAUUGAUGGGGUUAUCCGUAAGGAGAAGCUCUUGAUCGAAGCCCCGGUAAACGGCGGCCGUAACUAUAACGGUCCUAAGGUAGCGAAAUUCCUUGUCGGGUAAGUUCCGACCUGCACGAAUGGCGUAAUGAUGGCCAGGCUGUCUCCACCCGAGACUCAGUGAAAUUGAACUCGCUGUGAAGAUGCAGUGUACCCGCGGCAAGACGGAAAGACCCCGUGAACCUUUACUAUAGCUUGACACUGAACAUUGAGCCUUGAUGUGUAGGAUAGGUGGGAGGCUUUGAAGCGUGGACGCCAGUCUGCGUGGAGCCAACCUUGAAAUACCACCCUUUAAUGUUUGAUGUUCUAACGUUGGCCCCUUACCGGGGUUGCGGACAGUGUCUGGUGGGUAGUUUGACUGGGGCGGUCUCCUCCCAAAGCGUAACGGAGGAGCACGAAGGUUAGCUAAUCCUGGUCGGACAUCAGGAGGUUAGUGCAAUGGCAUAAGCUAGCUUGACUGCGAGCGUGACGGCGCGAGCAGGUGCGAAAGCAGGUCAUAGUGAUCCGGUGGUUCUGAAUGGAAGGGCCAUCGCUCAACGGAUAAAAGGUACUCCGGGGAUAACAGGCUGAUACCGCCCAAGAGUUCAUAUCGACGGCGGUGUUUGGCACCUCGAUGUCGGCUCAUCACAUCCUGGGGCUGAAGUAGGUCCCAAGGGUAUGGCUGUUCGCCAUUUAAAGUGGUACGCGAGCUGGGUUUAGAACGUCGUGAGACAGUUCGGUCCCUAUCUGCCGUGGGCGCUGGAGAAUUGAGGGGGGCUGCUCCUAGUACGAGAGGACCGGAGUGGACGCAUCACUGGUGUUCGGGUUGUCAUGCCAAUGGCACUGCCCGGUAGCUAAAUGCGGAAGAGAUAAGUGCUGAAAGCAUCUAAGCACGAAACUUGCCCCGAGAUGAGUUCUCCCUGAGACUUUAAGUCUCCUGAAGGAACGUU
Molecule: ribosomal RNA, 2758 nt
Filed under: Klebsiella pneumoniae
Lineage: Bacteria; Pseudomonadati; Pseudomonadota; Gammaproteobacteria; Enterobacterales; Enterobacteriaceae
Description: partial 23S ribosomal RNA
Rfam family: Bacterial large subunit ribosomal RNA
Source: RNAcentral